RNAcentral lists this unclassified non-coding RNA (396 nucleotides) under uncultured Hygrophorus. RNAcentral's name for it is "sequence contains ITS2". The stretch from base 1 to 155 matches the Rfam family "5.8S ribosomal RNA". Lineage: Eukaryota; Fungi; Basidiomycota; Agaricomycetes; Agaricales; Hygrophoraceae. The record is from RNAcentral.
AACUUUUAGCAAGGGAUCACUUGGCUCUCGCAUCGAUGAAGAACGCAGCGAAUUGCUAUAAGUAAUGUGAAUUGCAGAUUUUCAGUGAAUCAUCGAAUCUUUGAACGCACCUUACGCUCCUUGGUAUUCCGAUGAGCAUUCCUGUUUGAGUGUCAUUAAAUUCUCAAUCCCUUUCCUUUCAAGAAAGGCUUUGGAUUUGGAGUGUUGCUGGCUUAUUUUGUCAGCUCCUCUUAAAUGCAUUAGCUUGAUACCCUUUGUGGAUAGGCUUUGGUUUGAUAAUAUCUAUGCCAUUGCCGUGAAACAAAUGUCAGCUUCUAACAGACAACUCUUUGAUAUUUUGACCUCAAAUCAGGUAGGACUACCCGCUGAACUUAAGCAUAUCAAUAAGCGGAGGCU